GAUGAAGAACGUAGCGAAAUGCGAUACUUGGUGUGAAUUGCAGAAUCCCGUGAACCAUCGAGUCUUUGAACGCAAGUUGCGCCUCAAGCCAUUAGGUUGAGGGCACGUCUGCCUGGGCGUCACAUAUCGUUGCCUGAUGCCAGUUUCCUCGUGAUGGGUGACUGUGCAGGGCGAAUGAUGGCUUCCCGUGAGCAUUGUUGCCUCAUGGUUGGUUGAAAAUUGAGUCCUUGGUAGGGAGCGCCGUGAUAGACGGUGGUUGAGUGACGAACGAGACCCAAUCAUGUGAGACCCCUACCGAAUUUGGCCUUCAUGACCCACAUGCGUCUUUGGAACGCUCAUGACGAGACCUCAGGUCAGGCGGGGCUACCCGCUGAGUUUAAGCAUAUCAAUAAGCGGAGGA
This 400-nucleotide unclassified non-coding RNA is filed under the name soil metagenome. RNAcentral's name for it is "partial contains 5.8S ribosomal RNA, internal transcribed spacer 2, and large subunit ribosomal RNA". The stretch from base 1 to 122 matches the Rfam family "5.8S ribosomal RNA", at positions 35 to 154 of the family's 154-position model. The record is from RNAcentral.